GCCCGGUUAGCUCAAUCGGUAGAGCGUGAGACUCUUAAAUGAGUACACCAUCUCAAGGUUGCGGGUUCGACCCCCGCAUCGGGCU
Transfer RNA from Fusarium oxysporum f. sp. cubense, 85 nucleotides. It matches the Rfam family "tRNA". From Rfam's summary of the family: Transfer RNA (tRNA) molecules are approximately 80 nucleotides in length. Their secondary structure includes four short double-helical elements and three loops (D, anti-codon, and T loops). The record is from Rfam. Lineage: Eukaryota; Fungi; Ascomycota; Sordariomycetes; Hypocreales; Nectriaceae.